GCUGGUUUGAGAGGAUGAUCAGCCACACUGGAACUGAGACACGGUCCAGACUCCUACGGGAGGCAGCAGUCGGGAAUAUUGCACAUUGGGCGCAAGCCUGAUGCAUCCAUGCCGCGUGUUUGAAGAAGGCCUUAGGGUUGUAAAGCACUUUCAGUAAGGAGGAAAGGUUGGUAGUUAAUACCUGCUAGCUGUGACGUUACUUAC
Molecule: ribosomal RNA, 204 nt
Filed under: uncultured bacterium
Lineage: Bacteria
Description: partial 16S ribosomal RNA
Rfam family: Bacterial small subunit ribosomal RNA
Source: RNAcentral